RNAcentral lists this transfer RNA (91 nucleotides) under Helianthus annuus (common sunflower). RNAcentral's name for it is "tRNA-Tyr". It matches the Rfam family "tRNA". From Rfam's summary of the family: Transfer RNA (tRNA) molecules are approximately 80 nucleotides in length. Their secondary structure includes four short double-helical elements and three loops (D, anti-codon, and T loops). Lineage: Eukaryota; Viridiplantae; Streptophyta; Magnoliopsida; Asterales; Asteraceae. The record is from RNAcentral. RNAcentral also lists the same sequence under 1 other name.
ACCGACCUUAGCUCAGUUGGUAGAGCGGAGGACUGUAGUGCGUUCACAGAUAAUCCUUAGGUCGCUGGUUCGAAUCCGGCAGGUCGGAUAC